UACAGAGGGUGCAAACGUUGUUCGGAAUUACUGGGCGUAAAGCGUGUGUAGGCGGUUCUCUAAGUCGGGUGUGAAAGCCCUGGGCUCAACCCAGGAAGUGCACUCGAAACUGGAGGGCUAGAGUAUCGGAGAGGUUGGUGGAAUUCUCGGUGUAGAGGUGAAAUUCGUAGAUAUCGAGAGGAACACCGGUGGCGAAGGCGGCCAACUGGACGAAUACUGACGCUGAGACACGAAAGCGUGGGGAGCAAACAGG
Molecule: ribosomal RNA, 253 nt
Filed under: uncultured bacterium
Lineage: Bacteria
Description: partial 16S ribosomal RNA
Rfam family: Bacterial small subunit ribosomal RNA
Source: RNAcentral